AGAGUUUGAUCCUGGCUCAGGAUGAACGCUGGCGGCGUGCUUAACACAUGCAAGUCGAACGAUCCUUCGGGAUAGUGGCGGACGGGUGAGUAACGCGUGGGAAUCUGCCCUCAGGAGGGGGAUAACGGCUGGAAACGGCCGCUAAUACCCCAUAUGCCGAGAGGUGAAAUGAAUUUCGCCUGAGGAUGAGCCCGCGUCUGAUUAGCUAGUUGGUGGGGUAAAGGCCUACCAAGGCAACGAUCAGUAGCUGGUCUGAGAGGAUGAUCAGCCACACUGGGACUGAGACACGGCCCAGACUCCUACGGGAGGCAGCAGUGGGGAAUUUUCCGCAAUGGGCGAAAGCCUGACGGAGCAACGCCGCGUGAGGGAUGAAGGCCUCUGGGCUGUAAACCUCUUUUCUCAAGGAAGAAGACCUGACGGUACUUGAGGAAUAAGCCACGGCUAAUUCCGUGCCAGCAGCCGCGGUAAUACGGGAGUGGCAAGCGUUAUCCGGAAUUAUUGGGCGUAAAGCGUCCGCAGGCGGCCUUGUAAGUCUGUUGUUAAAGCGUGGAGCUCAACUCCAUUUAAGCAAUGGAAACUACAAGGCUGGAGUGUGGUAGGGGCAGAGGGAAUUCCCGGUGUAGCGGUGAAAUGCGUAGAUAUCGGGAAGAACACCAGUGGCGAAGGCGCUCUGCUGGGCCAUAACUGACGCUCAUGGACGAAAGCCAGGGGAGCGAAAGGGAUUAGAUACCCCUGUAGUCCUGGCCGUAAACGAUGAACACUAGGUGUCGGGGGAAUCGACCCCCUCGGUGUCGUAGCCAACGCGUUAAGUGUUCCGCCUGGGGAGUACGCACGCAAGUGUGAAACUCAAAGGAAUUGACGGGGGCCCGCACAAGCGGUGGAGUAUGUGGUUUAAUUCGAUGCAACGCGAAGAACCUUACCAGGGUUUGACAUCCUGCGAACCCCUGAGAAAUCGGGGGGUGCCUUCGGGAGCGCAGAGACAGGUGGUGCAUGGCUGUCGUCAGCUCGUGUCGUGAGACGUUGGGUUAAGUCCCGCAACGAGCGCAACCCACGUCUUUAGUUGCCAGCAUUCAGUUGGGCACUCUAGAGAGACCGCCGGUGAUAAACCGGAGGAAGGUGUGGAUGACGUCAAGUCAUCAUGCCCCUUACAUCCUGGGCUACACACGUACUACAAUGCUACGGACAAAGGGCAGCAAGCUCGCGAGAGUUAGCAAAUCCCAUAAACCGUGGCUCAGUUCAGAUCGUAGGCUGCAACUCGCCUACGUGAAGGAGGAAUCGCUAGUAAUCGCAGGUCAGCAUACUGCGGUGAAUACGUUCCCGGGCCUUGUACACACCGCCCGUCACACCAUGGAAGUUGGCCAUGCCCGAAGUCGUUACUCCAACCCUCGUGGAGGA
This 1395-nucleotide ribosomal RNA is filed under the name metagenome. RNAcentral's name for it is "bacterial SSU rRNA". It matches the Rfam family "Bacterial small subunit ribosomal RNA". The record is from RNAcentral.